UCGACGUGUUAAAGGGUUGAUAUUCGGACACUGAUUUGCCCACAGCUUUGCAUCCCUCGGGCUUGAAUCAUUUACAUAUUCUACGUUCAAAUUCUCUUUGAAUUUUGCACCUUUCAAACGGACCCGGAGAUCGAAACUUAUCGUACGUAAAUAUACUUCUCCUCUGUGGAACUGAACGCUGCUGUCGCCCAUAUCCAUUCGAAUGCAUACCAUUUUCGGGCUCAGUUCAACUUGGCACCUGGGCCACAGGAACUACUGAAGUUAUCUAUAGUAGACAACCGGGUAAAAAUCUAAAAAUCGGUUUAAAAUCUAGCUAAAAAGAUUUUCAUUAAAAUAUAAAAAAAGCGUUUGCGAGGACUUAAUAAAAAUGUGAAAUCGUGGCACAAACACA
This is a long non-coding RNA of Drosophila erecta, 391 nucleotides long. RefSeq lists it as uncharacterized. NCBI's taxonomy places the organism in Eukaryota, Metazoa, Arthropoda, Insecta, Diptera, Drosophilidae. The transcript is spliced from 2 exons. The record is from RefSeq and is a predicted model, not a curated record.